Molecule: ribosomal RNA, 422 nt
Filed under: uncultured bacterium
Lineage: Bacteria
Description: bacterial SSU rRNA
Rfam family: Bacterial small subunit ribosomal RNA
Source: RNAcentral
AGAAUUUUUCUCAAUGGGCGCAAGCCUGAAGGAGCGACGCCGCGUGUGGGAUGAAGGGUUUCGAUCCGUAAACCACUGUCAUUCGUGAACAAUGCUCACUGUUUAAGAGAUGGUGAGUUGAUAGUAACGGAAGAGGAAGGGACGGCUAACUCUGUGCCAGCAGCCGCGGUAAUACAGAGGUCCCGAGCGUUGUUCGGAUUCACUGGGCGUAAAGGGUGCGUAGGUGGCAUGGCAAGUUUGAUGUGAAAGCUCAGGGCUUAACCCUGAAAUGGCAUUGAAUACUGCUGUGCUGGAGGUUUGGAGGGGGGACUGGAAUUCUCGGUGUAGCAGUGAAAUGCGUAGAUAUCGAGAGGAACACCAGUGGCGAAGGCGAGUCCCUGGACAACACCUGACACUGAGGCACGAAAGCCGGGGGAGCAAAC